AUUGAACGCUGGCGGCAGGCCUAACACAUGCAAGUCGAACGGUAACAGGAAACAGCUUGCUGUUUCGCUGACGAGUGGCGGACGGGUGAGUAAUGUCUGGGAAACUGCCUGAUGGAGGGGGAUAACUACUGGAAACGGUAGCUAAUACCGCAUAACGUCGCAAGACCAAAGAGGGGGACCUUCGGGCCUCUUGCCCUCGGAUGUGCCCAGAUGGGAUUAGCUAGUAGGUGGGGUAACGGCUCACCUAGGCGACGAUCCCUAGCUGGUCUGAGAGGAUGACCAGCCACACUGGAACUGAGACGCGGUCCAGACUCCUACGGGAGGCAGCAGUGGGGAAUAUUGCACAAUGGGCGCAAGCCUGAUGCAGCCAUGUCGCGUGUAUGAAGAAGGCCCUCGGGUUGUAAAGUACUUUCAGCGGGGAGGAAGGGAGUAAAGUUAAUACCUUUGCUCAUUGACGUUACCCGCAGAAGAAGCACCGGCUAACUCCGUGCCAGCAGCCGCCGUAA
RNAcentral lists this ribosomal RNA (506 nucleotides) under uncultured bacterium. Its description in RNAcentral is "partial 16S ribosomal RNA". It matches the Rfam family "Bacterial small subunit ribosomal RNA", at positions 30 to 523 of the family's 1533-position model. The record is from RNAcentral.